AAAUGGAGCAUUUAGAAGCUCAGCUGCUUACCUUCCAAGUCAGCAACGGUCUUUAAUUUUCUGGGGGUACUGCAGUGAGGAGCAGAUCAGCGGAUCAAAUCUCACCAGCUCAAGGUUGACUCAGUCUUCCAUCCUUCUGAGGGAGAAAUCACUGGUGAGUCUGGGCCAUUGGCUUCUCAGUUUCCCCAGCAAGCAAUGUGUUGACUGAACUAAGAGAACAGUUUUACUUCUUCAAACCAGUG
Molecule: non-coding RNA, 242 nt
Organism: Pantherophis guttatus
Lineage: Eukaryota; Metazoa; Chordata; Lepidosauria; Squamata; Colubridae
Source: RefSeq, a predicted model, not a curated record